GAUGAACGCUGGCGGUGUGCUUAACACAUGCAAGUCGAACGGGAUCCAAGGGUUGCUUGCUCUCUGGGGGGAGAGUGGCGCACGGGUGAGUAACACGUAAGUAACCUGUCCUUUUCUUGAGGAUAAGCAGUCGAAAGGGUGUUUAAUACCGUAUGUUCUGUCAGCCUCGCAUGGGGUGGGGAGGAAAGGAUUUCGCCGGAGUUGGGGGGGCCCGCGGUAUAUCUGGUUGGUGGGGGGGUGAUGGCUUAACAAGGCUUUGGCGGGUAGCCGGCCGGAGAGGGCGGUCCGUCAGAUGGGGACUGAGAUACGGCCGAGACUGCGGCGGGAGGCAGCAGUGGGGGAAAUUGCGCAAGGGGCGAAAGCCUGAUGCAGCGACGCCGCGUGGGGGAGGAAUGCGUUCGGGGUGUAAACUUCUUUUGCUCUGAACAAGGCAUGCCAGUGAGUGUGUUGAGUGUAGGGGUUGAUUAGCGCCGGCUAACUACGUG
Molecule: ribosomal RNA, 485 nt
Filed under: uncultured bacterium
Lineage: Bacteria
Description: partial 16S ribosomal RNA
Rfam family: Bacterial small subunit ribosomal RNA
Source: RNAcentral